UUUAUGGAGAGUUUGAUCCUGGCUCAGAGUGAACGCUGGCGGCGUGCCUAAUACAUGCAAGUCGAACGAUGAAGCUUCUAGCUUGCUAGAGUGCUGAUUAGUGGCGCACGGGUGAGUAACGCAUAGGUUAUGUGCCUCUUAGUUUGGGAUAGCCAUUGGAAACGAUGAUUAAUACCAGAUACUCCCUACGGGGGAAAGAUUUAUCGCUAAGAGAUCAGCCUAUGUCCUAUCAGCUUGUUGGUAAGGKAAUGGCUUACCAAGGCUAUGACGGGUAUCCGGCCUGAGAGGGUGAACGGACACACUGGAACUGAGACACGGUCCAGACUCCUACGGGAGGCAGCAGUAGGGAAUAUUGCUCAAUGGGGGAAACCCUGAAGCAGCAACGCCGCGUGGAGGAUGAAGGUUUUAGGAUUGUAAACUCCUUUUGUUAGAGAAGAUAAUGACGGUAUCUAACGAAUAAGCACCGGCUAACUCCGUGCCAGCAGCCGCGGUAAUACGGAGGGUGCAAGCGUUACUCGGAAUCACUGGGCGUAAAGAGCGCGUAGGCGGGAUAGUCAGUCAGGUGUGAAAUCCUAUGGCUUAACCAUAGAACUGCAUUUGAAACUACUAUUCUAGAGUGUGGGAGAGGUAGGUGGAAUUCUUGGUGUAGGGGUAAAAUCCGUAGAGAUCAAGAGGAAUACUCAUUGCGAAGGCGACCUGCUGGAACAUUACUGACGCUGAUUGCGCGAAAGCGKGGGGAGCAAACAGGAUUAGAUACCCUGGUAGUCCACGCCCUAAACGAUGGAUGCUAGUUGUUGGAGGGCUUAGUCUCUCCAGUAAUGCAGCUAACGCAUUAAGCAUCCCGCCUGGGGAGUACGGUCGCAAGAUUAAAACUCAAAGGAAUAGACGGGGACCCGCACAAGCGGUGGAGCAUGUGGUUUAAUUCGAAGAUACACGAAGAACCUUACCUAGGCUUGACAUUGAGAGAAUCCGCUAGAAAUAGUGGAGUGUCUGGCUUGCCAGACCUUGAAAACAGGKGCUGCACGGCUGUCGUCAGCUCGUGUCGUGAGAUGUUGGGUUAAGKCCCGCAACGAGCGCAACCCCUUUUCUUAGUUGCUAACAGGUUAUGCUGAGAACUCUAAGGAUACUGCCUCCGUAAGGAGGAGGAAGGUGGGGACGACGUCAAGUCAUCAUGGCCCUUACGCCUAGGGCUACACACGUGCUACAAUGGGGUGCACAAAGAGAAGCAAUACUGCGAAGUGGAGCCAAUCUUCAAAACACCUCUCAGUUCGGAUUGUAGGCUGCAACUCGCCUGCAUGAAGCUGGAAUCGCUAGUAAUCGCAAAUCAGCCAUGUUGCGG
This 1339-nucleotide ribosomal RNA is filed under the name Helicobacter pylori SS1. Its description in RNAcentral is "bacterial SSU rRNA". It matches the Rfam family "Bacterial small subunit ribosomal RNA", at positions 1 to 1362 of the family's 1533-position model. Lineage: Bacteria; Pseudomonadati; Campylobacterota; Epsilonproteobacteria; Campylobacterales; Helicobacteraceae. The record is from RNAcentral.